GGAAUGAAAUGAAUUUUAGUUUCAUACGGAGAUAUCAGAACUGUUUAGUUUUUUUUUUUUUUUUUUUUUUUUUUAGUAUCUUUGUUUAUUCUAAAAAAUAUAAACAGUCUAAAACAUGUUCUUGACUAUUUGGAUUCUCUAUGCUUUAAAAAAUCUUAAUAUAUGUUAAUAAAGUAUUAUUUAUAGCUAAUUCUUCUAUAGGAUAGCGUGACUUGUCUAUAACAGUUUUAAUGAGUACUUUUAGCUGAAUUAUGAACUAACUCUAUGUUGUGCUGUUUGUCACUAUUUUAUGUGUAUGAGUGUAUUUGCCUACUUGUGUGGCUAUGCACUACUUGUGAGCCUAGUGCCCAGGGAGCAAUACUGUGACAGAUCCUAUAGAUUUGAGUUGCAGAUGGCUGUGAGCCACCCUGUGGGUACAGGGAAUAGAACCCACGUCCUC
RNAcentral lists this long non-coding RNA (439 nucleotides) under Mus musculus (house mouse). RNAcentral's name for it is "long non-coding RNA chr2:60232447-60232886". The record is from RNAcentral. Lineage: Eukaryota; Metazoa; Chordata; Mammalia; Rodentia; Muridae.